GAGGCAGCAGUAGGGAAUCUUCCGCAAUGGACGAAAGUCUGACGGAGCAACGCCGCGUGAGUGAUGAAGGCUUUCGGGUCGUAAAACUCUGUUGUUAGGGAAGAACAAGUGCUAGUUGAAUAAGCUGGCACCUUGACGGUACCUAACCAGAAAGCCACGGCUAACUACGUGCCAGCAGCCGCGGUAAUACGUAGGUGGCAAGCGUUAUCCGGAAUUAUUGGGCGUAAAGCGCGCGCAGGUGGUUUCUUAAGUCUGAUGUGAAAGCCCACGGCUCAACCGUGGAGGGUCAUUGGAAACUGGGAGACUUGAGUGCAGAAGAGGAAAGUGGAAUUCCAUGUGUAGCGGUGAAAUGCGUAGAGAUAUGGAGGAACACCAGUGGCGAAGGCGACUUUCUGGUCUGUAACUGACACUGAGGCGCGAAAGCGUGGGGAGCAAACAGGAUUAGAUACCCUGGUAGUCCACGCCGUAAACGAUGAGUGCUAAGUGUUAGAGGGUUUCCGCCCUUUAGUGCUGAAGUUAACGCAUUUAGCACUCCGCCUGGGGAGUACGGCCGCAAGGCUGAACUUCAAAGGAAUUGACGGGGCCCGCACAAGCGGUGGAGCAUGUGUUUAAUUCUAAAGCACGGCGAGGAUCUUUACAGGUCUUGACAUCCUCUGGAUACCCUAGAGAUAAGGCUUUCUCCUUCCGGAACCAAAUGGACAGCGUGG
Molecule: ribosomal RNA, 707 nt
Filed under: Bacillus cereus
Lineage: Bacteria; Bacillati; Bacillota; Bacilli; Caryophanales; Bacillaceae
Description: bacterial SSU rRNA
Rfam family: Bacterial small subunit ribosomal RNA
Source: RNAcentral